AUCAGACCCGGCAAACCUUUGUAAUCCAAAGGUAGAUUGGAUUUUCAGUUCUUCGAUCUGGUUUGUUAGGGCUUUUAUUUCUUCUUGUAAUUUCUCGUUUUCAUUUAUUGCCAUGUCCAGGCCAGCUGGUUCUGGGACAGAGCACUAAUAGUGAUCUGCAGAAGUGCAUCGCACAGGCAGAUCAGUUUUUCGGCUGUCCGGCUCUGGUCUGCUUUGAAAUACGAUUUUGUCUUUACUUGCGGUCAUGGUCACUCAAAGCGGAAAAAAAUUAGCUGCAUUUGCGCAUGUGGAUGUGACGUCAGCGCUGUAGGUGCAAAGAGCCCAUAAUAUCCAGAGAGCGACUUGAGCUCGUUUUGACAUGCCUGUGUUCUUUCUGGAAUAUUUCUGACUGGUCAACUCGGAAACUAAAUUUAAAGACACCAAUGUGUAGCCAACAUGUGUCCUGUUAUAAGGAUAUAAGGCAUUUUGGGGUUUGUUUUGACAUGAAUCCACUAGCUGCAUGCGUAACCACGCGUAAUGACGCGACUGACUUUG
Molecule: long non-coding RNA, 534 nt
Organism: Xiphophorus hellerii (green swordtail)
Lineage: Eukaryota; Metazoa; Chordata; Actinopteri; Cyprinodontiformes; Poeciliidae
Exons: 3
Source: RefSeq, a predicted model, not a curated record